UCGACAGCCUGCGGCGUAAAGAGGGGUUAAGCCCCCCCCCCCUCCAACUAAAGCCAAACGCCCCCAAAGCCGUUAUACGCACUCCGAAGGGCAGAGGAUUCUCCACGAAG
This 110-nucleotide ribosomal RNA is filed under the name Lampris guttatus (North Atlantic opah). RNAcentral describes it as "partial small subunit ribosomal RNA". Lineage: Eukaryota; Metazoa; Chordata; Actinopteri; Lampriformes; Lampridae. The record is from RNAcentral.